This 253-nucleotide ribosomal RNA is filed under the name uncultured bacterium. RNAcentral's name for it is "partial 16S ribosomal RNA". It matches the Rfam family "Bacterial small subunit ribosomal RNA", at positions 524 to 776 of the family's 1533-position model. The record is from RNAcentral.
GACGAACCGAGCGAACGUUGUUCGGAAUCACUGGGCUUAAAGGGCGCGUAGGCGGGCUGUCAAGUCUGGGGUGAAAUCCCGCGGCUCAACCGUGGAACUGCCUCAGAUACUGACGGUCUCGAGGGAGAUAGGGGCGAGCGGAACUAAUGGUGGAGCGGUGAAAUGCGUUGAUAUCAUUAGGAACUCCGGUGGCGAAGGCGGCUCGCUGGAUCUCUUCUGACGCUGAGGCGCGAAAGCUAGGGGAGCAAACGGG